AUUGAACGCUGGCGGCAUGCCUUACACAUGCAAGUCGAACGGUAACAGAUCUUCGGAUGCUGACGAGUGGCGAACGGGUGAGUAAUACAUCGGAACGUGCCUAGUAGUGGGGGAUAACUACUCGAAGGAGUGGCUAAUACCGCAUGAGAUCUACGGAUGAAAGCAGGGGAUCGCAAGACCUUGUGCUACUAGAGCUGCUGCGGGCAGAUGAGUUAGUUGGUGGGAUAAAAGCUUACCAAGCCGACGAUCUGUAGCUGGUCUGGGAGGACGAUCAGCCACACUGGGACUGAGACACGGCCCAGACUCCUACGGGAGGCAGCAGUGGGGAAUUUUGGACAAUGGGCGCAAGCCUGAUCCAGCAAUGCCGCGUGCAGGAUGAAGGCCUUCGGGUUGUAAACUGCUUUUGUACGGAACGAAAAGCCCUGGGUUAAUACCCUGGGGUCAUGACGGUACCGUAAGAAUAAGCACCGGCUAACUACGUGCCAGCCGCCGCAGUAA
RNAcentral lists this ribosomal RNA (498 nucleotides) under uncultured bacterium. RNAcentral's name for it is "partial 16S ribosomal RNA". It matches the Rfam family "Bacterial small subunit ribosomal RNA", at positions 30 to 523 of the family's 1533-position model. The record is from RNAcentral.